AACUUUCAGCAACGGAUCUCUUGGCGCUGGCAUCGAUGAAGAACGCAGCGAAAUGCGAUAAGUAAUGUGAAUUGCAGAAUUCAGUGAAUCAUCGAAUCUUUGAACGCACAUUGCGCCCCUUGGUAUUCCGAGGGGCAUGCCUAUUCGAGCGUCAUUAUCACCCCUCAAGCUUCGGCUUGGUGUUGAGGCCUGCUGUAAAGGCACCCUCUAAAAUCAGUGGCAGUGCCGUCAGGCUCUAAGCGUAGUAAUUUCAUCGCUAUAGGGUCCUGGUGGAUGCUCGUCAGAAACCCCCCAUUUUUUAAUGAUUGACCUCGGAUUAGGUAGGGAUACCCGCUGAACUUAAGCAUAUCAAUAAGCGGAGGCU
Molecule: unclassified non-coding RNA, 364 nt
Filed under: uncultured Helotiales
Lineage: Eukaryota; Fungi; Ascomycota; Leotiomycetes; Helotiales
Description: sequence contains ITS2
Rfam family: 5.8S ribosomal RNA (bases 1-154)
Source: RNAcentral